RNAcentral lists this non-coding RNA (21 nucleotides) under Caenorhabditis elegans. The record is from RNAcentral. Lineage: Eukaryota; Metazoa; Nematoda; Chromadorea; Rhabditida; Rhabditidae.
UCAUUAAAUUUGACGGUAAUA